AAAUUGCCACCAGGUCAGAUGG
RNAcentral lists this microRNA (22 nucleotides) under Ornithorhynchus anatinus (platypus). RNAcentral's name for it is "oan-miR-1420g-3p". Lineage: Eukaryota; Metazoa; Chordata; Mammalia; Monotremata; Ornithorhynchidae. The record is from miRBase by way of RNAcentral.